Molecule: ribosomal RNA, 443 nt
Filed under: uncultured bacterium
Lineage: Bacteria
Description: partial 16S ribosomal RNA
Rfam family: Bacterial small subunit ribosomal RNA
Source: RNAcentral
CCUACGGGUGGCUGCAGUGGGGAAUAUUGGGCAAUGGGCGCAAGCCUGACCCAGCAACGCCGCGUGAAGGAAGAAGGCUUUCGGGUUGUAAACUUCUUUUAUCAGGGACGAAGCAAGUGACGGUACCUGAGGAAUAAGCCACGGCUAACUACGUGCCAGCAGCCGCGGUAAUACGUAGGUGGCAAGCUGUAUCCGGAUUUACUGGGUGUAAAGGGCGUGUAGGCGGGAGUGCAAGUCAGAUGUGAAAACUAUGGGCUAAAACCAUAGCCUGCAUUUGAAACUGUACUUCUUGAGUGCUGGAGAGGCAAUCGGAAUUCCGUGUGUAGCGGUGAAAUGCGUAGAUAUACGGAGGAACACCAGUGGCGAAGGCGGAUUGCUGGACAGUAACUGACGCUGAGGCGCGAAAGCGUGGGGAGCAAACAGGAUUAGAUACCCUAGUAGUC